ACACAGAGGAAGGGGCAGACUGCGUGUGAAGUCCUGCAAACAUAUGGCGAUAUCAGAUAAAGCACACGUUUUUCAGGGAAAACAGGCACCCAACACAGAGACUAUACAGUGGCACAAGAAAAGGGGAAUAGAACUUGUCACCAUCAUCAGUCCUUUAUUUAAUUCACUGGAGAACAUCACAACCUUCAGAUGUGUCAUAUCAGGAUAAAUGCAGCUGCAGGGAAAAUUAUAUGAAGGACCCACCCCACUCCAGAUUCACCAAGGAUCCAGCUGAAGCCCCGUUCACACUACAAGCGACACGCAACGUCAAAGCAACACGAUCCCAUUCAUUUCAAUGGAGAGCUGGUGAUUUCCGGCGACAAGAACGACAGAGGCCGUUGGUGACCGGAUGGGGCAUGUC
This is a long non-coding RNA of Sinocyclocheilus grahami, 400 nucleotides long. RefSeq lists it as uncharacterized. NCBI's taxonomy places the organism in Eukaryota, Metazoa, Chordata, Actinopteri, Cypriniformes, Cyprinidae. The record is from RefSeq and is a predicted model, not a curated record. The transcript is spliced from 4 exons.